UUGAAAUGCAUUUUUCUCUGUAUCACGCUUGCCAUGUGCACUUUUUAAAUUUGAUCAAUCAAUUGGUUAGUGUAAUGUUUACUAUCUUUACUCAGUCCAAACACUCCAGACAGUUACUCUGCCCAGUCCAACCUUUCCACAGUUACUCCAGCCACUCCAACCAGUUACUCUGCCCACUCCAGUUGUAGACUACUGGUGGAGGCAAGAACACCUCACACAUUUUCCCCAGAAAUUGU
This is a non-coding RNA of Pelobates cultripes (western spadefoot toad), 236 nucleotides long. NCBI's taxonomy places the organism in Eukaryota, Metazoa, Chordata, Amphibia, Anura, Pelobatidae. The record is from the annotation of a GenBank genome assembly.